CUUGGUUAUAGAAACCUCCCUUUGGCUUGCAGGUAUAAGCGAUAUCUACCAGUAAUAGUAGAAAGAAAUGAUCACACAACCAGAAUGGCAUUGUGUGAAGUUGCAGUAGCAUUUGUAAAUACUUCUUAAUGUACUGGGCUGAUCUGUGCUAUUGGAAUAGAUACCAGAACAAACACAAGUGUUUCUGAGACUCCAAGAAUUUCAACAGAGACGCGUAGAAAGAAACAAAAUUCAGCUCUGCUGAACAGAAAGCAUGUUUGGAGCCCCAGAGGCAAGUGAUACGCAGGAUAGCAGUACAAAAAGCCCUGCUUGAAUAUGAUGAUGCGUAAUAGACUUGGGACUAAAUGGAGGGAAAAAAACAUAUGGGAUUGCUUCUACUUGGCUAGCCAUCUUCUCUACAUUCACUGUGACAUAAGUUUCCAGACUCUCAAGGAAGCACUAGCGUUUCUCAUGUACUAUCAUCUGCCUCGGACCUAUUUGACACACUCCACUAAGGUAUUUGAUCUCAGCAAAGUAGUGUUGCCAAAGGCGACAGAUACUUUAUGAGUUCUAAAUUCAAGAUUAUCGCUAGUCAUUGCACUAAAACAGAAAGCAGCUAUUAAGUUUUCUAUAUCUUAAUACUGUGUUUGAAGUCAUAUGCUGAUACCCUUGGAAUGGUGUCAGAUUGGAUCUCCUAGACCCUCAGCCACAAGUCUAUUCCAUUAGACAGCUUCUCCACAGCUAUUAGUACGUUUCAUGUACUGUAGAUGGUGUUCUGUAUCUAUAUGCCUACCUUGGGCUAUUGACUCAUAGCGUUUUUCUGUUUGUGACCUAAUGGUUUAUUUUAGUUCUGCUUGCACUACUGUUGCGAUGGCUGGUUUUUCAAAAUGCUUACAGAAAAAUGCAAAUCUAUUCAGCUGUUUUAAAAAAAAGUCAUAAACUCAUUAUAAUUCAUUGUGAUUUCCACUUAGAUUUUGCUGAGCUGAUUGACUUCAUAGAGGCAGAAGAAACCCUGAAGGGAAAAACCUGUAACAGCUGCUAUGGAAAUGAUGGGUGCCUUAUACCUCAUAAAGGUGGAGCAACCAUUUUUUGAAAAGGUUUAAUGCCUUCAUAGUUUACAGUUUCCUAGGGAGAAAACCCCUGGGGUAGCGAUGAGCCUCGUCUUUUGUCCUAUGACAUUCUAAUUAACAGGCGCAUAACUAAUGGAGGGUUAAGAUGGGCCCCAGCCAUGAACGACGUGUGCCCCCGGCAGGUUGGGGGGCAUGGUAGGUGCGUGGCGGCGAAGGUGGGAGUGCGGGGGCGGUAAGCGGUGGAGCUUCUGCAAAUGCCGCCAGCACUGACGGCGGUGGGGGGGGCAUGUCGGUGACAACCCGCACACACCACCAGUAGCAUCGGCGGCAGCCAGCGGGGAUUGUGGGCUGCCUGCAGACACCGCCAGUGGUGUCAGUGGCGUGGUGGUGAACAGCGACUGCUCACAGGUGCCGCCAACAAUGUCGGUGGCACCUUUUUGUAGGGGGUGCACUGCCAUGCUCAGGGGGUGCACAUGCACCCACAUGCACUCACUACACAUCACCCCUGGACCCAGCCCUGGAUGCUGACUUGGAUGGCUGAGUGCCCCAGCACUGCCACUACUUAAGUACAAAACUACCCAGUUACACCUAUCCUAGCUUGGUUUAAAAGCAUAAACACAUUUUAUAUAAAUCACUAUUUCCUUUCUCUUUCUUUUGUUUUGCUGACUUAAGUUGAAAGCCUGAUAAAAUGCCAACUGAACACAAAUGUUAUACAAAGGCUGGCUCCUGCUGCAACUGAAAAAGGAGCAGCAACAGAGCAUCCUGCACUGGGAACCAGAGGGAGAGAGAAGUAUUUAUCUGUAUUUGUCGGAAGUCAAGCAGAAGGCAGGGUAGGUUUGAACCUUAUAGACUAACUAAAUUUGUGAGCUGGAGUUCACUUCAUCAGAUGCUGUGAAAGGACAUGGACAGACCAGUGUAUAAAAUGGACAGAUGAUUUUGGAGGAGACAGAAGAGAGAGAACCUUUCUGUUUUUGCAGACCUGGCACCCUGCCUCAGUGACCUGUCCCCUGAUUCUGGACAAAAAUCCUUUUUUUAUUAUGAGAUGUGGAGAAUAAAGGAGAUGUCUUUGGCA
Molecule: long non-coding RNA, 2121 nt
Organism: Crocodylus porosus (Australian saltwater crocodile)
Lineage: Eukaryota; Metazoa; Chordata; Crocodylia; Crocodylidae
Source: Ensembl